Long non-coding RNA from Capsicum annuum, 1981 nucleotides. RefSeq lists it as uncharacterized. The transcript has 2 exons. The record is from RefSeq and is a predicted model, not a curated record. Lineage: Eukaryota; Viridiplantae; Streptophyta; Magnoliopsida; Solanales; Solanaceae.
UAAAAUAACAAGAUAUAUGGUACCUAUAAGACUUCUGUGAAGUUGGAGUUUGUUGUAGCAACUUUGGACAUAAUUGAAGGUUUAAGCAAAAAUACAAAAUAUCUCUGACGCAUCAAUAAUGCUGAUGGACUGUUUUCGAGGGACCUACCUUUACUUUCCAGCUACUAUAAUUUUCACCUUUUUCCCUUAGUGCUGUCUGCUUUUUCUCUUUUUCUCAGCAGCAAUAAUGCAGACCUCAUAAUUGAAGACUCCAAUUAUUGAUCAUUGAUUUUUGUCCAGAAUGUUAUUCAUCCGCUGUAAGACCUUGCCUUUUAUGUUUAAGUCAUAGUGGUAAUUUUAGGUAUUAUCAACUUCAUUAUUCUCUCAACACAAAAUCUCGAGAAUACAAGAUAAUUGCUUCAAGAAUCAAGCCCAGCCUCUCUUCUUCCGGUCACUAGUUUAUCUAUUGUAUUGAGUUUUCUCACGUAUUUUGUAUUUCUUGAUUUAUUACUUCAUUCCUUGGUUUGCCGAAGAGGUUAGUACUCUAUUUGUUUUUCAAGAACUUUGUCAGUGUGUUGGGAGAUCUUAUGACUUACGAAAUCAUGUAUUCUAUAAAAUUCUUGAACUUCGAUAUUUAUUGAUUGAAUAAUCUGAAUUUUUGCCAUGAUUACUAAAGUCUCUUCACUAUUGGUUAUGCUAAAAAAGAGUACCCUCUGAAGUUACUCCAUAAUUCCCAUCAUAUUAUUAAACCUUUAACUAUGCCAAAAUGACUUGAAUCUUCAAAAAUCUCCAAAAUUUUUUAUUAUGUUAUGAAAUCCUUUUUUUUAGAACUGGCAUGAUAAUUUGGUCUGCAGGACUUCUAACAUUAUGAAAUUUCUUCAAGAAUAUCCUCAUGGUAUCAUAUAUAUCUCCAUAAUCUUAAGCUAUGCUAAAAGUGACAUGAACACAUCCAGAAUUUCAUUCUUCAUAAAGUUAUAAGAAUCUAGAUCUUAUGAACCAUGACAUGUAUUAUGAUACUACUUUCCAUGAGUCUCCAGUAACAUUAAUGAACGCUGUAACUUAUCAAGUAUGAGCCUAAAAUGGCUAAUUCAGAAUUCAUGAGCCUAAAGUGGCUAACUCGAGACAUGUGCCUAAAGCAGCUAACUCAUGGAUACUAGUCAAGAAAAACAAAAAAACAGAACUUUAUGAGCCUAAUAAGUCUAACCUUUGAACAUGAAUUCAUAAAGAUAUCAUCAUGAGCAUAAGGGAGUUAGUUAGCUGACUGUGAAGGCAUAGGUUCAAACGAUAAAUGCCCAAAGCUAUGUUUGCCGACAUAGGAUAGAGAUCAUUCUGCAAGUCGAAUGACUCUUUUUUUUUUUUCAUGUGUCCCGAAAAGGGGCUAACCAUGGAUACUUGCUAGCAAAUUAUAUCAUGUCCUAUGCCCGGUAAGGUAUAGGAUGGCUUAGCUGAUCGGGUCGAGAUCAAACUCUAUGCGCUCACAUGUUGGUUUAUGACGGUUCACUACUUUCUCCCACAAAUAACUAAAGGGAUUAAUUUAUUCUACGUUAUUCAGUUUAUGCUCUUGUCCCUUUUUAUCUUAUCAUGUUUUUAAUUGUACUUAUCAUCUUUGUAUUUUCAUGCUUUAUUACUUUCUUAUGUGGUUUUGCAUACCAAUACGUUCUACAUAUUGAUCGUCUUGGAAGCUGCAUUGUCUUAUAAUGCAGGUUCUGAGACAUACAUUUGUAAUUUCAUGGAUUACUAGGCCCAAUUAAAUCAGCUGUUGGUGAGCCCUCCAUCUUUUCGGAAGACAUUGUUUAUACUGUUAUUGACUAGUUCUAUGUUUUGGAGUAUUUCGGGGUCUUGUUUCCUAUUGACAUUGAUUCAUAUGUUUAGAGGCUUCGUAGAUAGUAGUAAAUAUCAUAUUCAGUUAUGUUCAGUUUUAUUCAUAUGGCUUUUGAAAUUUCCUCAAUCAUGAUUUAAGACUUUUUAUCAGUUUAUAAGCUAAGUAGGUUUUUAUUUUUCA